GAUGAACGCUGGCGGUGUGCCUAAUACAUGCAAGUCGAGCGAACAGACGAGGAGCUUACUCCUCUGACGUUAGCGGCGGACGGGUGAGUAACACGUGGAUAACCUACCUAUAAGACUGGGAUAACUUCGGGAAACCGGAGCUAAUACCGGAUAACAUGUUGAACCGCAUGGUUCAACAGUGAAAGACGGUCUUGCUGUCACUUAUAGAUGGAUCCGCGCCGCAUUAGCUAGUUGGUAAGGUAACGGCUUACCAAGGCAACGAUGCGUAGCCGACCUGAGAGGGUGAUCGGCCACACUGGAACUGAGACACGGUCCAGACUCCUACGGGAGGCAGCAGUAGGGAAUCUUCCGCAAUGGGCGAAAGCCUGACGGAGCAACGCCGCGUGAGUGAAGAAGGUCUUCGGAUCGUAAAACUCUGUUAUUAGGGAAGAACAAAUGUGUAAGUAACUAUGCACGUCUUGACGGUACCUAAUCAGAAAGCCACGGCUAACUACGUG
This 497-nucleotide ribosomal RNA is filed under the name uncultured bacterium. RNAcentral describes it as "partial 16S ribosomal RNA". It matches the Rfam family "Bacterial small subunit ribosomal RNA", at positions 28 to 507 of the family's 1533-position model. The record is from RNAcentral.